UUCGAUGAUACAGAAUUGGGAUAUCUUGCUUAUUACAUUGUAUGAGUAUCCCAUUACAUCUUGCGUGAUGUGUGUGUUUUUGGGUCCGGCACGGACCUCAUCACGGUCUAGCCAAGUAUGAAUAACAGACUGGACACGCUCUGGAGCACUUCUUAUGUGACUACUAGAAUGUUGUUACAAGUGCCUAGAUAUCACAUUCUACCAACACUCUGCAGUGAAGAAGAUGAACACGAACCCCAAGCAUUAACAGAAAAUCACUGAAUUGCAUUCAGUCUGUUAUUUCCUAGAUCUAAUGCGCAGAAUGUUUUCACGUCAUGUACCACCGAGUGCAAUCCGCAGGCCGCGAUUCAAGAAAAUCUAGUUUAUCUGUCUUCUGCCAAGCGUAUGAUAUGACAUCAACGAGUGAAGCUUCUGCUGGCUGAGAAGCAGAGUUGCUGCCGCUGCCCAUGGUAGGUGGCCAGCACCUAUCACAUCAGCUCACACGUACCGCACCCGAAGAGGUUCACAAUGCUGAACCCGUCGCCACAAGCGCGCCCGCCGUCGGCCGUAUCGCGCGCCCCGAGCACAUCGGCAUACGUGGCCGCCAGCGGCAUGGCGCGUUACAGCACGGCCGACGCCAACGACGCCGCAGAGGUGCUCUCGACAGACACGGGCGAGGCGCUGCGCGAGGCGGCCAUGAAGCGCGCUGACUCGCUCGACGAGGAGGACUUGGAGCGCGCCCGCACGCCUCCCUCCCCGAUCGGCCUGCUGGCAAUCCAUCUUCUUCAAAUGAAGGAGUUUAACCAGUCGGCCGUCAGUAUGGAUCUGGUGAACCCUAGACUACGCUUCAUGAUGCUGGUCUCCAUUGGAGAUAUGUACAAGGAAACAGGAUUGAAGAGUGGCCACGUCAGGCACAUUCGAGAAAAAGAGAAGUCCACCAGGCUAUUAGACAGGCUGCCUAUUGAUGAAGUUAAACAUUUCUCUAUGAGGAUUCCGCAGCAAGUUUCUGAUCCCGCCAAUGUUUUGAGGUUCGGGCUGUACAGCGUGCACCUUGAUACCAAGGACACCGCACCACCAGAGCUCGUGGGUGAGGCGGAGGUGCACCUUCACGAGAUCAUCAAGGCUAUGAUGGUGAUUGACGUGGUUUCGCUGAGGCUCGACGGUCGCGUGGUGGCCAGCCUGGAUCUCGAGUUCGCCUUCAUGUACGGCUCCAUGGGAUUCUGCUACUCCACACAACUGGAGAACGCCGCCUUCGACGCCAGUCGAGAUCUGGGGCGCAGCAUGUUCCCGCGUCUGACUCUGCCUGAGGAGCGCGACGGCGAGGUGCUGGUGCCCAUGCCGCAGCACGCGCCCGCCUUCGUGCCCUGGACCUGUUCCACCGUCACCCACUGGGACGAGCAGCUGCAGCGGCUACCGCCUGUCUGGCCGCCGGCGGCGCCCACCCAGUUCACGGAGAGCGUACACGCGGAGGUGCGCCGCAUCUUGACCGACUACGUGCCCAUCACGUCCCGGCCCGAUCGCCUGGCCUUUCUGCGCAGACUGAUUCGAGGCACGCCAGUUCGGGAGCCGGACGAGGGCGAGAGCGGGGGCCGGUGAUGACCGGCCGGCCGACCAGCACCACGGCAGCGACCCUGGUCCGGCCCAGCUAUCGACGACGCCAACGGACGCCGGCCGGCCGCAGCUGAGCGAGCGGCCACCAGCUGCCUCCGAGCACGGGGCCAGGCGCGGCACGG
This 1712-nucleotide unclassified non-coding RNA is filed under the name Pollicipes pollicipes. RNAcentral's name for it is "uncharacterized LOC119097909, transcript variant X1". Lineage: Eukaryota; Metazoa; Arthropoda; Thecostraca; Pollicipedomorpha; Pollicipedidae. The record is from RNAcentral.